This 30-nucleotide non-coding RNA is filed under the name Rattus norvegicus (Norway rat). Lineage: Eukaryota; Metazoa; Chordata; Mammalia; Rodentia; Muridae. The record is from RNAcentral.
UGACUUUAGAGUUCAACUGUUUUGAGAACU